This 252-nucleotide unclassified non-coding RNA is filed under the name Hevea brasiliensis (rubber tree). Lineage: Eukaryota; Viridiplantae; Streptophyta; Magnoliopsida; Malpighiales; Euphorbiaceae. The record is from RNAcentral.
GAACUGGCAGCAAUGGGUCGUGGUGCGCCUCCUCCACCCUCAGGUCAUGGGGGAUUCCGAGAUCGUGGAAGGGGAUAUGGUGGAGGACGAUCAUGGAGUUGAUUUUCUAAGCCUGAUAUUUCAGUCAAUUAUAGUCCUUCAAUCACAUGUUUGAUAUUGCUACAUCCACUGUGUUGCCAUUGCAAAAGUAGGCAUGCUCAAUAUUACCAGUUAACCCUUUGAACAGAUCCCAUCUACUGCCACUCUUACUAA